AGGAAGAUAAGCUAAGUUAAGCUCGCAGGUUCAUACCCUGUUUAUGGCUUCGGCCUCUUUCUA
This 63-nucleotide transfer RNA is filed under the name Epeorus alexandri. Its description in RNAcentral is "tRNA-Met". Lineage: Eukaryota; Metazoa; Arthropoda; Insecta; Ephemeroptera; Heptageniidae. The record is from RNAcentral.